This 1379-nucleotide ribosomal RNA is filed under the name uncultured bacterium. RNAcentral's name for it is "bacterial SSU rRNA". It matches the Rfam family "Bacterial small subunit ribosomal RNA", at positions 18 to 1396 of the family's 1533-position model. The record is from RNAcentral.
CCUGGCUCAGGAUGAACGCUAGCGACAGGCUUAACACAUGCAAGUCGAGGGGCAGCACAGGUAGCAAUACCGGGUGGCGACCGGCGCACGGGUGAGUAACGCGUAUGCAACUUGCCUAUCAGAGGGGGAUAACCCGGCGAAAGUCGGACUAAUACCGCAUGAAGCAGGGAUCCCGCAUGGGAAAUUUGCUAAAGAUUCAUCGCUGAUAGAUAGGCAUGCGUUCCAUUAGGCAGUUGGCGGGGUAACGGCCCACCAAACCGACGAUGGAUAGGGGUUCUGAGAGGAAGGUCCCCCACAUUGGUACUGAGACACGGACCAAACUCCUACGGGAGGCAGCAGUGAGGAAUAUUGGUCAAUGGCCGAGAGGCUGAACCAGCCAAGUCGCGUGAGGGAUGAAGGUUCUAUGGAUCGUAAACCUCUUUUAUAAGGGAAUAAAGUGCGGGACGUGUCCCGUUUUGUAUGUACCUUAUGAAUAAGGAUCGGCUAACUCCGUGCCAGCAGCCGCGGUAAUACGGAGGAUCCGAGCGUUAUCCGGAUUUAUUGGGUUUAAAGGGUGCGUAGGCGGCCUUUUAAGUCAGCGGUGAAAGUCUGUGGCUCAACCAUAGAAUUGCCGUUGAAACUGGGGGGCUUGAGUAUGUUUGAGGCAGGCGGAAUGCGUGGUGUAGCGGUGAAAUGCAUAGAUAUCACGCAGAACCCCGAUUGCGAAGGCAGCCUGCCAAGCCAUUACUGACGCUGAUGCACGAAAGCGUGGGGAUCAAACAGGAUUAGAUACCCUGGUAGUCCACGCAGUAAACGAUGAUCACUAGCUGUUUGCGAUACACUGUAAGCGGCACAGCGAAAGCGUUAAGUGAUCCACCUGGGGAGUACGCCGGCAACGGUGAAACUCAAAGGAAUUGACGGGGGCCCGCACAAGCGGAGGAACAUGUGGUUUAAUUCGAUGAUACGCGAGGAACCUUACCCGGGUUUGAACGCAUUCGGACCGAGGUGGAAACACCUUUUCUAGCAAUACCCGUUUGCGAGGUGCUGCAUGGUUGUCGUCAGCUCGUGCCGUGAGGUGUCGGCUUAAGUGCCAUAACGAGCGCAACCCUUGCCACUAGUUACUAACAGGUAAAGCUGAGGACUCUGGUGGGACUGCCAGCGUAAGCUGCGAGGAAGGCGGGGAUGACGUCAAAUCAGCACGGCCCUUACAUCCGGGGCGACACACGUGUUACAAUGGCGUGGACAAAGGGAGGCCACCUGGCGACAGGGAGCGAAUCCCCAAACCACGUCUCAGUUCGGAUCGGAGUCUGCAACCCGACCCCACGAAGCUGGAUUCGCUAGUAAUCGCGCAUCAGCCAUGGCGCGGUGAAUACGUUCCCGGGCCUUGUACACACCGCCCG